UACGUAGGGUCCGAGCGUUGUCCGGAGUUACUGGGCGUAAAGGGCGCGCAGGUGGCGGUGUUGGCCCGGCGUGAAAGCCCCCGGCUCAACCGGGGAGGGUCGUCGGGGACCGCACCGCUUGAGGGCGGUAGGGGCUGGUGGAAUGCCUGGUGUAGUGGUGAAAUGCGUAGAGAUCAGGCGGAACACGCGUAGCGAAGGCGGCCAGCUGGGCCGUCCCUGACACUGAGGCGCGAAGGCGUGGGGAGCGAACGGG
Molecule: ribosomal RNA, 253 nt
Filed under: uncultured bacterium
Lineage: Bacteria
Description: partial 16S ribosomal RNA
Rfam family: Bacterial small subunit ribosomal RNA
Source: RNAcentral